UACAGAGGUCUCAAGCGUUGUUCGGAUUCAUUGGGCGUAAAGGGUGCGUAGGCGGCGCGGUAAGUCGGGGUGUGAAAUCUCGGAGCUUAACUCCGAAACUGCAUUCGAUACUGCCGUGCUUGAGGACUGGAGAGGAGACUGGAAUUUACGGUGUAGCGGUGAAAUGCGUAGAUAUCGUAAGGAAGACCAGUGGCGAAGGCGGGUCUCUGGACAGUUCCUGACGCUGAGGCACGAAGGCCAGGGGGAGCAAACGGGG
RNAcentral lists this ribosomal RNA (256 nucleotides) under uncultured bacterium. RNAcentral describes it as "partial 16S ribosomal RNA". It matches the Rfam family "Bacterial small subunit ribosomal RNA", at positions 524 to 777 of the family's 1533-position model. The record is from RNAcentral.